CUGUGAAUACUUUAGACCGCCGGCCAAAUGACCCAAAUGAUGUUUUAAUUGACCCAUUCUGUGCACCCUCUACAAGUGUUACAUUUGACUAUUUAAACACAGGUUUGGAUGUCACGGCUCAAAAGACUGAUGACCUGAUGACCCCUGAAGAAGAGGCUGGCUACACAAAGGCUCUUGUACAUGAUAUGUUUCCCUCCCAAACUUGCAUUUCUCAAUUAAACAAUAAUCCUGCUAUUCUUAAUAUACAAGCAGUUAAGGUUCAAGUCUAUCAACCCCAAGAAGGCUGUGCAUAUGAUCGAGACAUCAGUGUAAAUAGACUCUGCAAUCCUACCGCAUUCUACACUCCUGAAGACUGCUUCA
Polyodon spathula (Mississippi paddlefish) is the source of this 360-nucleotide long non-coding RNA. RefSeq lists it as uncharacterized. Lineage: Eukaryota; Metazoa; Chordata; Actinopteri; Acipenseriformes; Polyodontidae. The record is from RefSeq and is a predicted model, not a curated record. The transcript has 3 exons.